RNAcentral lists this long non-coding RNA (894 nucleotides) under Phascolarctos cinereus (koala). RNAcentral describes it as "lncRNA (ENSPCIG00000026697.2)". The record is from RNAcentral. Lineage: Eukaryota; Metazoa; Chordata; Mammalia; Diprotodontia; Phascolarctidae.
UACUGAUAUCUAUUGUAUUACUGUUACAUAGUUCACUCAUUACUCCUUUCUUCCCUCCCUCAGUUUGACAAAAGAAGAAACUGAAGCCCAGAGAAAUUACAACUUGGUCAAAGUUACAAAUGGAGUUGAACAAGAGCAGGAAUGAGAGUUACAUCAUCUGCCCAAAUAAAUUCUGUAACUAGACUUAGUGCUCUUAUGUGCUCAAUGAAAAUGAGGGGAUCUAGGCUAUGGAGGGCAGGAGAGGUCAGACAGAGGAAGGCAAGAAAGUUUGUCUAUAUCCACUAAGAUUCCCAGGUGACCCCCUAGCCCUUUCAAUUCUUCAUUUCUAUGGCAAAUCUCACUUCACAAAACGCAUGCUUCCAUUUGAUUCCUGCUGUAAAUUCACCAAAAAUAGGGUAAGGAAAAGGGAACUGGGAAAGUGAUGCAACUGAUCACAGACAGAAGAGGACCUAUACCCCAAAGCUCCCAGCCUCUAAAAUCAAACAGCCUAAGACUAAAGUUAGGGAGUAGGAAGACAUCAAAGAGACAUCUAAGACCUUUGGACUCGAAUGCGGACCACCGGGCAAGAAGCUGGGACACCACUCUACAAGAGGAAGACAGAAAUCUCAGAAUAUUGUAAGCUGGCAGGGGGAGUGCUGCAGAGCUCAAGGAACCAAAGAAAAUGAGUUUUAAGGUGGAAAGGAAGCACCAAAGUCCAGGGCUGGCUCUUUCCUGACUUUCAUAUUCCUGCCCAGCAUGAACGGACCAGUGCCCCUUUCUUUGUUAAUCAGUGCUAUUGCAGAGAGGGGCCGAUGGAGAGAUAAACAGCCUGGGCAUCCAGAGGUCUGUGUUCUAAUUCCUGCUCCCCCAAGUCAGUGAUUUUGAUGCUAGUUGCCCCUUUUUUGUUUCAAGGGG